UUGAUCUGGUACCAAGCUGACUCAUGAGCGCUUUUGUAACUGGAUACCACAGAGCAGUCGUGUUCUCUCCUGCGCUGUUCCCUGAAAUAUCCCCGAGCUAAACACGCACAUUGGAACGCCCUCGAACCACAUACCUCAUUUUGAUGUAACUUUCUUUCCUGUCUGGAGACCGAAAAACUGUGGAGCGAAUACUUUUUUUUGUCAAGAUGAAGUUUUGCUUGCUACCCGCUGUACUUCUCCUGGUGACUGGGGCAUUGACGCAGGACGAAUUUAACCUGUUUGAUGCGCUCGAUGACGUAGACCCAACACCACCACAACCAAAAGAGCAACCAAAAUCCCCAGACAAUACUAAUCUUGAUGAUGGUCUGAAACUUUUUGAUGCCUUAGGACCAGAUGAACCAGAACCUGAGAAACCUAAGAAGCCAAAGAAUACUGGAGAUUCUGAUGGCUUUGGAUUUGAUCUCGACGACGCUCUUAAACCAGACCCAAAUGCCAAACCUGACACACCUGUGGUCAACCCACCAAAGCGUGGUGGAGGGGGUGGUAACUUUGAUGACAAUGACUUAUUUGACAUAAGUGAUGGUGGAAACUCCAACCCUGAUGACGGUACGGACGUUUCGGAGAUUCUAACUAUAACCAUGCAGGUGGUGCUGAUCAGCCUCAAGAGGCCGGUUCCGGAAAAAUCGCGGGAAUCGUCAGCGCUAUCGGGGUGGCUCUUUUAGGAGCGGCAUCCAGUUACUUUGCUUACCAGAAGAAAAAACUGUGUUUCAAGAUACAGGGAGGCGCUGACCCAGAAAGUGGUAAAUCACAUCCAACGCAGUCUAACCCUCAAGUUUACAGCAACUUGCUCAGGACGUCCUAGACAGCCCCUUCUCCGCAAAAAACAAGCCUCCUUGACGGAACGACGACUAAAGUGUCCGUGUUUCUUUGUACCAUAGUAUCGUCUCUCAUAUUUCUGCUGCUUGAUGUUUGGCUUUUUUAUCUUGGCGGAUACAUUUUAGCAGCUUUAUCAUGUAAUGGUAACACUUCUGCAAGGACACCUUAAGCUGUCAUUUCAGAAGACCGUGUUGUACUUUUUUGUUAUUGUCCGAAUGUCAUGUGUCAUAAAAAUGUUUUGUGUAUGAAGGUUUUUUUUUUUUUUUUUUAAAUAACUAAUAGAAGUAUUGAAAAGCAGGGGCGGAGCCAGAACUUUUUCAGUGGCGUGGGCCGGAGUGCCACAACCACUCAAAGGUGCUUUGAAUAAUGGAUCACAGUUGCACAAUGUGAAGACAUCGCAAAUUAUUGCCCAGUUAAGGUUUCAUUAAAUAAAAUGCAUGUUUAUCCACCUUACCCAACACACUAAUAAUACUAUCAAGAAAAAAAAAAAAGAGUAAAAAGCAACAUUUUGCGCAAUUAAA
Syngnathus acus (greater pipefish) is the source of this 1397-nucleotide RNA transcript. It is a transcript of the gene named CD99 molecule, with no coding region annotated. The transcript is spliced from 13 exons. Lineage: Eukaryota; Metazoa; Chordata; Actinopteri; Syngnathiformes; Syngnathidae. The record is from RefSeq and is a predicted model, not a curated record.